CGAAAGCCUGACGGAGCAAUACCGCGUGAGGGAUGACGGCCUUUGGGUUGUAAACCUCUUUUAUCAAGGAGGAAGUUCUGACGUGUACUUGAUGAAUAAGCAUCGGCUAACUCCGUGCCAGCAGCCGCGGUAAGACGGAGGAUGCAAGUGUUAUCCGGAAUCACUGGGCGUAAAGCGUCUGUAGGUUGUUUAAAAAGUCUGCAGUUAAAGGUUGAAGCUUAACUUCAAAAAUGCCGUAGAAACUUUUAAACUAGAGGAUGGUAGGGGUAGAGGGAAUUUCCAGUGGAGCGGUGAAAUGUGUAGAUAUUGGAAAGACCACCGAUGGCGAAGGCACUCUACUGGGCCAUGACUGACACUGAGAGACGAAAGCUAGGGGAGCA
RNAcentral lists this ribosomal RNA (380 nucleotides) under uncultured cyanobacterium. Its description in RNAcentral is "bacterial SSU rRNA". It matches the Rfam family "Bacterial small subunit ribosomal RNA", at positions 376 to 770 of the family's 1533-position model. Lineage: Bacteria; Bacillati; Cyanobacteriota. The record is from RNAcentral.